This 71-nucleotide transfer RNA is filed under the name Tetraleurodes acaciae (acacia whitefly). RNAcentral's name for it is "tRNA-Lys". The record is from RNAcentral. Lineage: Eukaryota; Metazoa; Arthropoda; Insecta; Hemiptera; Aleyrodidae.
CAUUAAAAAGCUUUAAGUAAGCUCUGAUCUCUUAAAUCAGCUAUGACAAGUUGGGCGUCUGUCUUUAUUGA